AGUGAACGCUGGCGGUAGGCCUAACACAUGCAAGUCGAACGGCAGCGCAGAGAAGCUUGCUCCUUGGGUGGCGAGUGGCGGACGGGUGAGGAAUACAUCGGAAUCUACUCUGUCGUGGGGGAUAACGUAGGGAAACUUACGCUAAUACCGCAUACGACCUACGGGUGAAAGCAGGGGAUCUUCGGACCUUGCGCGAUUGAAUGAGCCGAUGUCGGAUUAGCUAGUUGGCGGGGUAAAGGCCCACCAAGGCGACGAUCCGUAGCGGGUCUGCGAGGAUGAUCGGCCACACUGUAAAGGAGACACGGUCCAGACUCCUACGGGAGGCAGCAGUGGGGAAUAUUGGACAAUGGGCGCAAGCCUGAUCCAGCCAUACCGCGUGGGUGAAGAAGGCUUUCGGGUUGUAAAGCCCUUUUGUUGGGAAAGAAAUCCAUCUGGUUAAUACCCGGGUGGGAUGACGGUACCCAAAGAAUAAGCACCGGCUAACUUCGUGCCAGCCGCCGCCGUAA
Molecule: ribosomal RNA, 506 nt
Filed under: uncultured bacterium
Lineage: Bacteria
Description: partial 16S ribosomal RNA
Rfam family: Bacterial small subunit ribosomal RNA
Source: RNAcentral